GCACACAUUUUAUUUGAAAGCAUUGAAUAAGUAGCUCAGGCUCUCGCUCAGACUUAAGGGGCUGAUGAACUACGCCCCCGCCGCAACCAGCUUUCUCUGCACCCCAAUCCAGCCCCGCUCCAGACGACGGGCUUAGAUUCUGCUAUCACGUAGGCAGUGAGCCUGGGGAAGAUGCGAUGCCUCCCUUGAAACCAUCAAGACAGAUAUCCGCUGGUUUUAGGGUGUCCCCCAAGGCAAGCAUCUGGGACGCCUCCGGCAUAUGCUCGCCCUCGGGGCCCGACCAGGAGGCUCCAGCUUUGCAAGGCGCCACCGCCCAGAGCUCAGGUCUGGGUUGGAAGGGUGGGCGGCACCGCCUCAGGGUACGUUCUCCCGACUUCGGAGAGAAAGAAAGGAAGAAAUGCACCCUAGGAAAAGGGGCUUCGACUUUUUGUGCCUGUGCUUUCAUGGAAGUCACCAGCUCUCGGCUGCUUAAGAUGCUACUCAGAAGCGCGCCCAGCCAGGCUGUGGCCAUCCGCGCCAAGUCCUCGUGUCCUGGUCGACGAGCACUUUGGGUAGCACCGCGACACACAAUAGCCACCACGGUUAGGAGAUAUGCUCGCUAUGCUUACCUGUUGGCAAAAAUAAAAUGCAAAAUAAAAAUUUAAAUUUGGAAACUAACACAUGGUGACAUCUUCUAGAACCACAGCUCUUUCUUCAGACAAAAGCCAAUUUUACCAUCCCGCAAACCCAUUGAGCCCUGGAAGUUCCGUUCGCGGCACUUUGGCGCCCUCUGGCUUUAUCAGGGUGGCUUGCUUGUUCUGCUUCGUCCUGAAAGAAUAGCGGAGGGGGGGGGGAAUGGAAAUGUAUGUUGCCUUCUUGGUUGGAUCUCCCCUCAUGAGUGAAGCACAGAUUUGGGAUGAGCUUGCCCUCCACGUCCGGAAUAACGAAACACAACUACAUUUAGGGAGACGAAUGCCAAAGGGAGGAGUGGAGGAGCCAUCGUGGGCCAGGUGCCAGAUAAAAUACUGGUGAUUUAAGCUCCAAAGAUACAACCCAAGAACUGACGAAGCUCUGACACAGUGAUGUAGGGGAAGAAACCAAACACCAGCACUGACUCCCUUCGCUGUGCACCGCUGCAAAGACCUCUGGGAGAUUGGCUCUAGAAAUCCCCGCUGCUGGCGACUGUCAGCAGUUACAUGAAGGCAUGGGGGAGCCUCGACUCUACUUACAAAGCCUGACCUGUGCUUCGGAUAUUCCUGUGUUUCCAAGAUGCCUUUCCAGACUAGAACCCAGACAUGUGAGCCGCUGGCCGAACACAACAGUCUUCCUUUAGUAUCUUCACAUGGCCAGGAGCAGAAAGGAAGAGCCACCUUCUCUCCAGUCUCCACUGUAGUACCAUUGACCCCCAUUAGGAAGACCCCACCUGUAUGAUCUAAUCUGACCCUACUAUGAUACCUCCCAAAGACGCCACUCUUCACUGGAUGCUAGAAAUUCAACAUGUAAACCAUGAGGCAAGAGGGACGCCAAUCUGAGUGCAGUCAUCAUGUCCUCUUCCCUUUGACCAAUGUCUGAUGGGAAGCAGCCUAAAGAGGAAGAGGUUACAGUUCAAGGGAUACAGCCCAUGAUGGUGGAUAAGGCAUAAGCACAGAGCCAGCUCUUGCCUGUGGAGGUGGGAGUGGGAGGCUGCUUGUUCACCUCUGGACACACCAGGAAGCAGACAGUUGGUUCAGGCAAUGACUUAUAAGGUCCACCACCAGUAACCUACUUUUUCCAGCAAGAUACCACGCCUUAGAGACUCCAUGACCUCCUAAAAUAGGACGAUUUACUCAAGCCUCCGCAGGACAUUUCACUUCAACCCACAGCAAUGUCGGCCAUAGGGCAUCCAAGAUGUACUUCAUGUGGCAUCAGCAAUACAAUCCAUGCAACACUAGUAAUGCAUGUGGGAUCUCGUCAGUAGGUUUUCACUACAAUUACUCAGCAAAUACUUUAACAACACCUUCCUGUCUUAUCAAGGUCAUUCUCAAAUCUCUGCUGUUUCUCAGUGUAGAGAUUAAAAAUGCCAUCUAAUGCAGUAA
Molecule: long non-coding RNA, 2054 nt
Filed under: Mus musculus (house mouse)
Lineage: Eukaryota; Metazoa; Chordata; Mammalia; Rodentia; Muridae
Description: predicted gene 5468, transcript variant 6 (Gm5468)
Source: RNAcentral